CAGUAGCCGCGGGAAUACGUAGGUGGCAAGCGUUGUCCGGAAUUAUUGGGCGUAAAGGGCUCGCAGGCGGUUUCUUAAGUCUGAUGUGAAAGCCCCCGGCUCAACCGGGGAGGGUCAUUGGAAACUGGGAAACUUGAGUGCAGAAGAGGAGAGUGGAAUUCCACGUGUAGCGGUGAAAUGCGUAGAGAUGUGGAGGAACACCGGUGGCGAAGGCGACUCUCUGGUCUGUAACUGACGCUGAGGAGCGAAAGCGUGGGGAGCGAACAGGAUUAGAUACCCGCGUAGUCCCUGUCUCUUAUAC
RNAcentral lists this ribosomal RNA (301 nucleotides) under uncultured bacterium. RNAcentral's name for it is "partial 16S ribosomal RNA". It matches the Rfam family "Bacterial small subunit ribosomal RNA", at positions 509 to 807 of the family's 1533-position model. The record is from RNAcentral.